AACGAACGCUGGCGGCAGGCCUAACACAUGCAAGUCGAACGCUCCGCAAGGGGAGUGGCGCACGGGUGAGUAACGCGUGGGAAUCUACCUAUUAGUAAGGAAUAACAGUUGGAAACGACUGCUAAUACCUUAUACGCCCUACGGGGGAAAGAUUUAUCGCUAAUAGAUGAGCCCGCGUAAGAUUAGCUAGUUGGUGAGGUAAUGGCUCACCAAGGCUACGAUCUUUAGCUGGUCUGAGAGGAUGAUCAGCCACACUGGAACUGAGACACGGUCCAGACUCCUACGGGAGGCAGCAGUGGGGAAUAUUGGACAAUGGGCGAAAGCCUGAUCCAGCCAUGCCGCGUGAAUGAUGAAGGCCUUAGGGUUGUAAAGUUCUUUCGCCGCCGAGGAUAAUGACGGUAAGCGGAUAAGAAGCCCCGGCUAACUUCGUGCCAGCCGCCGCCGUAA
Molecule: ribosomal RNA, 447 nt
Filed under: uncultured bacterium
Lineage: Bacteria
Description: partial 16S ribosomal RNA
Rfam family: Bacterial small subunit ribosomal RNA
Source: RNAcentral